Molecule: long non-coding RNA, 863 nt
Organism: Uranotaenia lowii
Lineage: Eukaryota; Metazoa; Arthropoda; Insecta; Diptera; Culicidae
Exons: 3
Source: RefSeq, a predicted model, not a curated record
UUCCGAAAGAUAAGAUUAAUGAUCUAGAAAAUUAUCCUUUCGCGCAUCUGAGUUUAAUGUGUCUUCGCUGCUGCUGUUGUCACGUCAGGAAAAAUAAACACGAGGCAUUUGCGGACCCGCACGGUUCUGGAAAAACCUUCGUGAUUAGGCCAGAAAAGCCAUAAAUGGCAAUAACAGGAAUUAAAAAUAAUCUCUCCUAGACCGACAACUACUUAAGCGGUGAAGCUCGACAAAGUAUCAAGGACAAACAUCUUUAUUCCACCGGACAAACACGGGAGCAGUUCCAGCGCUAAACCGCUGGGCCGGGACCCAGCACUACUUCGUCAACAGCAGCAGCGGUAAACAUAAUUCUGGUGUGAAAAAAACUUGUUCAGUCCUCAUCCAUGAUUGCGACCACAGACACCAGCAGCUACCGAUCAUAUCGCCAUCAUCACCGUCAGUGGCAAAAGCAGCACCACCAAAUACAACAUCAGCCGGAAGCGUUCCCUCGCACCACAACCCGUUUUCCGGUGGAAGAUAACGUAGCAAUAUAUUCCGCGGAAAAAUAAGUGCCGCAGUCAAUUCAAGUCAGAAUAAAAACCCGAGGCAUGUGGACCCGUAAGAUUCCGAAAAAGUGAUGAGCUCGACAAAGUACAGGAUGCAAUGAAAAACUCCAUCAUCCGGUCGGACAAAUACCGGAGCAGUUCCAGCACCAAAAAGGUGAACAUUGAGCCGGAACAACCAGUAUUACUUCAUCACAAGCCGCAGAACAUUACUCUGGCGGAAGAACCUCAUUUAGUUCCUCAGCCACGAUUGCGACAACCGACAACUGCCGCCGCUUAUCGUACCGCCAACACCACCACCAGCGUCAACAGCAGUACUAC